GCGGGGGUGGUGAAAACGGCAAACGCACCGGACAACAAUCCGGCGGAGACCUAGUCUCCUUGCAGGUUCGAAUCCUGCUCCCCGCACCG
This 89-nucleotide transfer RNA is filed under the name Candidatus Colwellbacteria bacterium CG10_big_fil_rev_8_21_14_0_10_41_28. RNAcentral describes it as "tRNA-OTHER". It matches the Rfam family "tRNA". Rfam says of the family: Transfer RNA (tRNA) molecules are approximately 80 nucleotides in length. Their secondary structure includes four short double-helical elements and three loops (D, anti-codon, and T loops). Lineage: Bacteria; Candidatus Colwelliibacteriota. The record is from RNAcentral.